UACGAAGGGGGCGAGCGUUGUUCGGAUUUACUGGGCGUAAAGGGCGCGUAGGCGGCGGGUCAAGUCGAGUGUGAAAGCCCCGGGCUCAACCUGGGAACUGCAUUUGUGACUGCACGGCUGGAGUGCGGCAGAGGGGGAUGGAAUUCCGCGUGUAGCAGUGAAAUGCGUAGAUAUGCGGAGGAACACCGGUGGCGAAGGCGGCCCCCUGGACCGGUACUGACGCUGAGGCGCGAAAGCGUGGGUAGCAAACGGG
This 253-nucleotide ribosomal RNA is filed under the name uncultured bacterium. RNAcentral describes it as "partial 16S ribosomal RNA". It matches the Rfam family "Bacterial small subunit ribosomal RNA", at positions 524 to 776 of the family's 1533-position model. The record is from RNAcentral.